Molecule: small RNA, 28 nt
Filed under: Bombyx mori (domestic silkworm)
Lineage: Eukaryota; Metazoa; Arthropoda; Insecta; Lepidoptera; Bombycidae
Description: ovarian small RNA-26764
Source: RNAcentral
UCCAGAUAAGCCCCUACCGUGCGGCGGA